GACGAACGCUGGCGGCGUGCUUAACACAUGCAAGUCGAACGGUAAGGCCCUUCGGGGUACACGAGUGGCGAACGGGUGAGUAACACGUGGGUGAUCUGCCCUGCACUUCGGGAUAAGCCUGGGAAACUGGGUCUAAUACCGGAUAGGACCCUGGGAUGCAUGUCCUGGGGUGGAAAGCUUUUGCGGUGUGGGAUGGCCCGGCGGCCUAUAAGUUUGUUGGUGGGGUGAUGGCCUACCAAGGCGACGACGGGUAGCCGGCCUGGGAGGGUGACCGGCUACGCUGGGACUGAGAUACGGCCCAGACUGCUACGGGGGGCAGCAGUGGGGAAUAUUGCACAAUGGGGGCAAGCCUGAUGCAGCGACGCCGCGUGAGGGAUGACGGCCUUCGGGUUGCAAACCUCUUUCAGCACCGACGAAGCGCAAGUGACGGUAGGUGCAGAAGAAGGACCGGCCAACUACGUGCCAGCCGCCGCGGUAA
Molecule: ribosomal RNA, 478 nt
Filed under: uncultured bacterium
Lineage: Bacteria
Description: partial 16S ribosomal RNA
Rfam family: Bacterial small subunit ribosomal RNA
Source: RNAcentral